RNAcentral lists this ribosomal RNA (387 nucleotides) under Strophurus assimilis (Goldfields spiny-tailed gecko). RNAcentral describes it as "partial 16S ribosomal RNA". It matches the Rfam family "Bacterial large subunit ribosomal RNA", at positions 1967 to 2564 of the family's 2925-position model. The record is from RNAcentral. Lineage: Eukaryota; Metazoa; Chordata; Lepidosauria; Squamata; Diplodactylidae.
AUUUGUCCCCUAAAUAGGGACUUGUAUGAAUGGCUAAAUGAGGUUCUAACUGUCUCAUUAGACCAAUCAAUGAAACUGAUCUUUCAGUACAAAAGCUGAAAUAAACCCAUAAGACGAGAAGACCCUGUGGAGCUUAAAAUAUAUACUAUAAACCACACCACUUUACUUUUUAGUUGGGGCGACUUUGGAAUAAAACAAAACUUCCAUGCCAGGUCCCUACCAAGGCCUACGCGCCAAAGUAACCACCUAUUGACCCAGCCACAUCUAGCUGAGCAACGAACCAAGUUACCCCAGGGAUAACAGCGCCAUCCUCUUCAAGAGUCCCUAUCGACAAGAGGGUUUACGACCUCGAUGUUGGAUCAGGACACCCCGGUGGUGCAACCGCUA